CUCCCUGAUGUUAGCGGCGGACGGGUGAGUAACACGUGGGUAACCUGCCUGUAAGACUGGGAUAACUCCGGGAAACCGGGGCUAAUACCGGAUGGUUGUUUGAACCGCAUGGUUCAAACAUAAAAGGUGGCUUCGGCUACCACUUACAGAUGGACCCGCGGCGCAUUAGCUAGUUGGUGAGGUAACGGCUCACCAAGGCAACGAUGCGUAGCCGACCUGAGAGGGUGAUCGGCCACACUGGGACUGAGACACGGCCCAGACUCCUACGGGAGGCAGCAGUAGGGAAUCUUCCGCAAUGGACGAAAGUCUGACGGAGCAACGCCGCGUGAGUGAUGAAGGUUUUCGGAUCGUAAAGCUCUGUUGUUAGGGAAGAACAAGUACCGUUCGAAUAGGGCGGUACCUUGACGGUACCUAACCAGAAAGCCACGGCUAACUACGUGCCAGCAGCCGCGGUAAUACGUAGGUGGCAAGCGUUGUCCGGAAUUAUUGGGCGUAAAGGGCUCGCAGGCGGUUUCUUAAGUCUGAUGUGAAAGCCCCCGGCUCAACCGGGGAGGGUCAUUGGAAACUGGGGAACUUGAGUGCAGAAGAGGAGAGUGGAAUUCCACGUGUAGCGGUGAAAUGCG
This 623-nucleotide ribosomal RNA is filed under the name Bacillus subtilis. RNAcentral describes it as "bacterial SSU rRNA". It matches the Rfam family "Bacterial small subunit ribosomal RNA", at positions 82 to 690 of the family's 1533-position model. The record is from RNAcentral. Lineage: Bacteria; Bacillati; Bacillota; Bacilli; Caryophanales; Bacillaceae.